UGGCAUUCUUUUUCGUUUGUCGGCCAUAUUGGAUUUAACAAAUAUUUUCUUGCACUUGCAGCUGAUGGCCAGUAGUUGGCAGUAUAUUUAGUGUCCACUUCAGUGGUCUGUGGGCAUUUAUAACUUAAAAAUCCAUAAGAAAAACAAGAAAAUGGCUUUUAGAUAGCUGUCCUCUGCAGUGACCGCUAUGCAUGAAACAUAAUGCUCAUGUUAGGAAACAUGUAAAAAAUAUAAACAUAUUUUAGAAAAGUUACCUUUUUGGAUUAAAGAAAAUAUUUCCUACAAUACUAACUCAUAACCACAGGUUCUGGUAAGAACCACCGUGUUUUUCUCCAGUGAGAUGAAAACUUCACCAUCACAGCUCCGUCUGCAGCAGAGUUAUCACCUCAUUGGCAACACCUGUCAUCAUUAGCUUCACAUCAACAUGAGCAAAGCUGAGGGAGGCAGCCGUAAUGGACUGGUUCAACUGCUGAUGCAAUAAAUCGAGGAGCCAUGGAGAUGAAACAAGGGAACAUGUUUAUCUUUACAGCUGUGAUUCAUUGGUGCCUCAUGCUCCACGACGCAACGCCAAAUAUGGCCAAAUACCAGCAGAACCCGGAC
Poecilia latipinna (sailfin molly) is the source of this 600-nucleotide long non-coding RNA. RefSeq lists it as uncharacterized. The record is from RefSeq and is a predicted model, not a curated record. The transcript has 3 exons. Lineage: Eukaryota; Metazoa; Chordata; Actinopteri; Cyprinodontiformes; Poeciliidae.